CAGGGAUUGACAUGACGGUAGUAGUGAAGCGAAAGCGGAACGACCCUUCGGGGAGCCGUCACAGGUGAUGCAUGGCUGUCGUCAGCUCGUGCCGUGAGGUGUUUGGUUAAGUCCACUAACGAGCGCAACCCCUAGCGCCAGUUACAAGUGUCUGGCGCGACUGCCGGUAUUAAGCCGGAGGAAGGUGGGGAUGACGUCAAGUCAGCAUGUCCUUUAUACCCUGGGCGACACACACGCUACAAUGGCCAGCACAAUGGGUCGCCAAGCCGUGAGGCGGAGCCAAUCCUAAAAAGCUGGUCUCAGUUCGGAUUGCAGGCUGCAACCCGCCUGCAUGAAGUCGGAGUUGCUAGUAACCGCAGGACAGCUAUACUGCGGUGAAUACGUUCCC
This 388-nucleotide ribosomal RNA is filed under the name uncultured soil bacterium. Its description in RNAcentral is "bacterial SSU rRNA". It matches the Rfam family "Bacterial small subunit ribosomal RNA", at positions 975 to 1375 of the family's 1533-position model. The record is from RNAcentral.